CCUACGGGAGGCAGCAGUGGGGAAUAUUGCGCAAUGGGCGCAAGCCUGACCCAGCAACGCCGCGUGAAGGAUGAAGGUUUUCGGAUUGUAAACUUCUGUCGCGAGGGACGAAGAAUGACGGUACCUCGUAAGAAAGCCCCGGCUAACUACGUGCCAGCAGCCGCGGUAAUACGGAGGGGGCAAGCGUGGUCCGGACUGACUGGGCGUAAAGGGAGUGUAGUCGGCUCAUCAAGUUAGAUGUGAAGUCCCGAGGCUUAACCGCGGAACUGCAUCUAAAACGGGUAAGCUGGAGGGCAGGAGAGGUGAGGUGAAUUACUAGUGGAGCGGUGGAAUGCGUAGAUAUUAGGAGGA
RNAcentral lists this ribosomal RNA (351 nucleotides) under uncultured bacterium. Its description in RNAcentral is "partial 16S ribosomal RNA". It matches the Rfam family "Bacterial small subunit ribosomal RNA", at positions 338 to 705 of the family's 1533-position model. The record is from RNAcentral.